GACAGAGGUGCCAAGCGUUAGGCGGAAUCACUGGGCUUAAAGCGUGUGUAGGUGGAUGUCUAAGUACCUUGUGAAAUCCCACGGCUCAACCGUGGAACUGCUCGGUAUACUGGACGUCUUGAGCCACUUAGGGGCUACCGGAACAAAUGGUGGAGCGGUGAAAUGCGUAGAUAUCAUUUGGAACGCCAAUGGUGAAAACAGGUAGCUGGGAGUGUGCUGACACUGAGACACGAAAGCCAGGGGAGCGAACGGG
This 253-nucleotide ribosomal RNA is filed under the name uncultured bacterium. RNAcentral describes it as "partial 16S ribosomal RNA". It matches the Rfam family "Bacterial small subunit ribosomal RNA", at positions 524 to 776 of the family's 1533-position model. The record is from RNAcentral.